RNAcentral lists this ribosomal RNA (484 nucleotides) under uncultured bacterium. RNAcentral describes it as "partial 16S ribosomal RNA". It matches the Rfam family "Bacterial small subunit ribosomal RNA", at positions 30 to 507 of the family's 1533-position model. The record is from RNAcentral.
AUUGAACGCUGGCGGCAGGCCUAACACAUGCAAGUCGAGCGGAUGAAGGGAGCUUGCUCCUGGAUUCAGCGGCGGACGGGUGAGUAAUGCCUAGGAAUCUGCCUGGUAGUGGGGGAUAACGUCCGGAAACGGGCGCUAAUACCGCAUACGUCCUGAGGGAGAAAGUGUGGGAUCUUCGGACCUCACGCUAUCAGAUGAGCCUAGGUCGGAUUAGCUAGUUGGUGGGGUAAAGGCCUGCCAAGGCGACGAUCCGUAACUGGUCUGAGAGGAUGAUCAGUCACACUGGAACUGAGACACGGUCCAGACUCCUACGGGAGGCAGCAGUGGGGAAUAUUGGACAAUGGGCGAAAGCCUGAUCCAGCCAUGCCGCGUGUGUGAAGAAGGUCUUCGGAUUGUAAAGCACUUUAAGUUGGGAGGAAGGGCAGUAAGUUAAUACCUUGCUGUUUUGACGUUACCAACAGAAUAAGCACCGGCUAACUUCGUG